CAGUAGCCACGGUAAUACGAAGGGGGCUAGCGUUGUUCGGAUUUACUGGGCGUAAAGGGCGCGUAGGCGGGCGAAUAAGUCAGGGGUGAAAUCCCAAGGCUCAACCUUGGAACUGCCUUUGAUACUGUUUGUCUUGAGUCCGGGAGAGGUGAGUGGAACUGCGAGUGUAGAGGUGAAAUUCGUAGAUAUUCGCAAGAACACCAGUGGCGAAGGCGGCUCACUGGCCCGGAACUGACGCUGAGGCGCGAAAGCGUGGGGAGCAAACAGGAUUAGAUACCCGAGUAGUCCCUGUCUCUUAUAC
This 301-nucleotide ribosomal RNA is filed under the name uncultured bacterium. RNAcentral describes it as "partial 16S ribosomal RNA". It matches the Rfam family "Bacterial small subunit ribosomal RNA", at positions 509 to 807 of the family's 1533-position model. The record is from RNAcentral.